RNAcentral lists this ribosomal RNA (465 nucleotides) under uncultured bacterium. RNAcentral describes it as "bacterial SSU rRNA". It matches the Rfam family "Bacterial small subunit ribosomal RNA", at positions 29 to 518 of the family's 1533-position model. The record is from RNAcentral.
AUGAACGCUGGCGGCGUGCCUAAUACAUGCAAGUCGAACGGCAGCAGCAAUGCUGUAGUGGCGAACGGGUGAGUAACACGUUGGUGACCUGCCCCAAAGAUGGGAAUAUCACCUGGGAACGGGUGGCAAAACCGAAUAAGCUUGAGGGAGUUAGAGAGCCUCAAGUAAAAGAGGAAUCUACUUUGGGAGGGGCCUGCGGCCCAUCAGUUAGUUGGUGAGGGUAACGGCCCACCAAGACGGCGACGGGUAGGGGACCUGAGAGGGUGGUCCCCCACAAUGGAACUGAAACACGGUCCAUACACCUGCGGGUGGCAGCAGUAGGGAAUAUUGCUUAAUGGGCGAAAGCCUGAAGCAGCAACGCCGCGUGGACGAAGGAGGCCUUCGGGUCGUAAAGUCCUUUUAUGUGGGAAAAGGAAGGAUGGUACCACAUGAAUAAGUCUCGGCUAACUACGUGCCAGCAGCAGC